UGGGGGAUAUUGCACAAUGGGCGAAAGCCUGAUGCAGCGACGCUGCGUGGGGGAUGAAGGCCUUCGGGUUGUAAACUUCUUUUGCUCUGAACAAGGCGCACCAUGGGGUGUGUUGAGUGUAGGGGUUGAUUAGCGCCGGCUAACUACGUGCCAGCAGCCGCGGUAAUACGGAGGGCGCGAGCGUUGUCCGGAAUUAUUGGGCGUAAAGGGCUUGUAGGUGGCUGGUUGCGUCUGUCGUGAAAGCUCAUGGCUUAACUGUGGGUUUGCGGUGGGUACGGGCUGGCUUGAGUGCAGUAGGGGAGGCUGGAAUUCCUGGUGUAGCGGUGGAAUGCGCAGAUAUCAGGAGGAAUACCGGUGGCGAAGGCGGGUCUCUGGGCUGUUACUGACACUGAGGAGCGAAAGCAUGGGGAGCGAACAGG
RNAcentral lists this ribosomal RNA (419 nucleotides) under bacterium. RNAcentral's name for it is "partial 16S ribosomal RNA". It matches the Rfam family "Bacterial small subunit ribosomal RNA", at positions 355 to 776 of the family's 1533-position model. The record is from RNAcentral.